RNAcentral lists this ribosomal RNA (465 nucleotides) under uncultured bacterium. RNAcentral describes it as "partial 16S ribosomal RNA". It matches the Rfam family "Bacterial small subunit ribosomal RNA", at positions 28 to 507 of the family's 1533-position model. The record is from RNAcentral.
GACGAACGCUGGCGGCGUGCUUAACACAUGCAAGUCGAACGGAAAGGCCCCUUUGGGGGUACUCGAGUGGCGAACGGGGGCGUAACACGUGCGUAACCUGCCCUUGACUUCGGGAUAACUUCAGGAAACUGGGGCUAAUACCGGAUAGGAAUCCUUGCUGCAUGGUGGGGGUUGGAAAGCUUCGGCGGUUUUGGAUGGACUCGCGGGUUAUCAGCUUGUUGGUGGGGUAGUGGCUUACCAAGGCGUUGACGUGUAGCCGGCCUGAGAGGGCGACCGGCCACCUUGGCACUGAGAUACGGCCCCGACUCCUACGGGAGGCCGCUGGGGGGAAUAUUGCCCGAUGGGCGGAAGCCGGAUGCAGCAACGCCGCGGGCGGGAUGACGGCCUUCGGGUUGUAAACCGCUUUCAGAAGGGGCGAAGCUUGUGGUGACGGUACCUGCAGAAGAAGCACCGGCUAACUACGUG